AACUACCAUUAACACAAGGGAAAACUUCAAAUAUCACCCAUGUGGUUUCACACAUUCUCACUUUAGUAUUCUGUUGUUCAAAGCGUAUCAAUUUAGUAUUCUCUGGUUUCAUUUUUAUUUCUUUUAUUAUCGAUUUCACUAAUUUUUUUCGUUAAAUUAGUGACAAAGUUAAAACUAAAAGGUAUUAAAGUGAAUAUUCGAUAAAUUUAUGUAGAGUAUCUGAAACUUUUUGUAUACAAUUUAACAAAAUAUUAACGGAGAAGCUCACGAAAAGAUAAAAAUGAAAUCACAGGACAUGAACUUGAUAUACUUUAAACUACAUGGUACUAAAGUGAGAACGUGCGAAACCACAGAGGUGGUAUCUGAAGUUUACCCUUAACAUAAACUACUUAAAAAAAAAAAGACCAUUAACGUAUAAAAAGAGGUCAUCCACCAUUAUAAUAAACUACUUAAAAAAGAAAGACCAUUAACAUAUAAAAAGAAGUCAACUACCAUUAACAUAAACUACUUAAAAAAAAAAAGAAAAGAGCAUUAACAUAUAAAAAGAAGUCAAAUUCGCAUUAAGCUACCAUAAAGAUAGAACUCCACCAAAAAGAAGCCGCAUUUUUCGCACUAAACUACCACAAAAUAGACGACUUGCAAAAUGGGGUCAAAUGAGCACUAAAUUCACACAUCACUAUCACCAUCAUAGAUAUUCCCUUGUCCGAGAUUUUUUUGAAGUAACGAUCAAAAUUUGAGAACAAAUUUCUACGAUUGGAUUUGUCUAUUGUACAUUCGCUCCAAAAUGACACCAUCAUGUUGCAUUUUAAAGAUUGUGUGGGUAGGACGCGAGUUUUAUAUUAUCUCUGAUAUCAUAUUACAUAAAAUUUUUUGAUAUUCUAUUAUUUUAAAAGAAUUAUGGGACUCAACAUAUUUGGAAUAGCAAAUGCUUUUCCUAAAGCCAAACAGAAAAAGAGCGCGCUCUAAAAGUAAAAAAAGUAUUUUACUAUUAAUAGCAUUACAGUCUAAUUCUAUAUAUAUAUAUAUAUAUAUAUGGCUGGGGAUAUUAUACUCUUAUGAGUAUAGACCCUCUUGUACUCAUAAAUUUUUAACCAUUGAUUGAUAGGAUGUGUGGUUAGGAUGAUGGUUAUCCUCAGGUUACUAAAAUGAUAAAGUGCAAAACCAAAGGGUACUAAAGUGAUAAAGUGCGAAACCACUCACAAGGUAUUAACUUGAUACACUUUAAAUCACAGGGUACUAAAGUGAAAAAGUGCAAAACCACAGGAUACUAACUUGAUACACUUUAAACCACNAGUACUGUGCACUUUUCGCUAAUAGGCGUUUCGAAGAGAUUCUCCCCUUGCAGUUGACAUGUCGAGAGCAAUCUUAGAACUUUCCGAAAGCGGAGAACUCCACAGAAUUCACAAGAAGUGGUUUUGCAAGACAAACUCAUGUGCUGCGCAGGGAAGCGGGAAUUCUGAGCCAGACCAGCUGCACUUGAGCUGCUUCUGGGGGCUAUUUCUGGUUUGUGGGGCAGCUACUAUUAUUUCUCUCCUCUUAUUUCUUCUACGGUCGAUUCGGCAAUUCAUUCGCUAUCGGAUAAAACAUAGAGAUCCUGCAUCAGAUACUGAGCUAUCAAAGAGGGGCUGUUCUCAAGCCAUUUAUAGCUUCUUCAAUUUCAUUGAUGAGAGAGAAGAAGCCAUAAAAGCCAUUUUCAGGCAGCAGCAGCAGCAAAGCACUUCUCAGCCUCAGAAAAGCUGAUUGUGCUGUUACUAGUUCCACCUUUCUCUGUUUGUAGAACAUAAGAGGAAGUUAAUAUGUAGCUUGUAAUUUACUUCUUGUAACGUAAAUCAUAUAUAUUUUCCGUGAUGGUUAAAGCCAUUUCGCGACUUAUUUAGCAGUGUUAGGGUUGGUAACUGGUGCCAAAUAUGUCAAAAAAAAAUUUCUGUUGCUAGAACUCAUGUGAUUGUGCCAAAAGCUCUAGAAUUUUUCUGUUCAAAAUUUUAGCUUUCCUUCGCUUUAUGAGUUGGGAUUAUCUUUGAUUUGAUCAUUACUUGUCCAUAAGAUAAGACAUGAAUAAGUUGGCAUGGUUUAGGACGCUGUUUGGUUGCAUGUAAAUGAGGCCAAAAAUAAGUUUUUUGCACUAAAAUUGAGAUCUAUACGUCUUUGUCUCCUGCAAAACAGUUUUAUGUAUUUUACAGAGAAACUCUUUUUAUGUAUGUCCUGAAUUCAUAUUAUACUAAAAUAAAUACCAAUAAAUGACAUUUUUUUGGAAAAAAAAAAUCUCUCUUUUUCAAAUCGUUUUUAAGAGAUUUUACGCAGAAUCAGUAACAAAAAAUUGCCACAAGUCUACUUGACUUUGCUUUCAAAAAGAAGUCAACUGCCCACCAGCAAACUACUACCAUUAACACAAGAGAAAACUUCAAAUAUCACUUUUGUGGUUUCACACGUUCUCACUUUAGUAUUCUGUGGUUCAAAGUGUAUCAAUUUAGUAUUCUCUGGUUUCAUUUUUAUUUCUUUUAUUAUCGAUUCCACUAAUUUUUUUCGUUAAAUUAGUGACAAAGUUAAAACUAAAAGGUAUUAAAGUGAAUAUUCGAUAAAUUUAUGUAGAGUAUCUGAAACUUUUUGUAUACAAUUUAACGUCCUUAACAAAAUAUUAACGGAGAAGCUCACGAAAGAUAAAAAUGAAAUCACAGGACACGAACUUGGUACACUUUAAACUACAUGGUACUAAAUUGAGAACGUGUGAAACCACAGAGGUGGCAUCUGAAGUUUACCCUUAACAUAAACUACUUAAAAAAAAAAGACCAU
Molecule: long non-coding RNA, 2790 nt
Filed under: Ananas comosus (pineapple)
Lineage: Eukaryota; Viridiplantae; Streptophyta; Magnoliopsida; Poales; Bromeliaceae
Description: long non-coding RNA (ACOM_LNC028669)
Source: RNAcentral